UCUCCGUUGGUGAACCAGCGGAGGGAUCAUUAUCGAGUUUAUAACUCCCAAACCCUAUGUGAACUUACCACUUGUUGCUUCGGCGCGCGCUUCGGCGCCGCCGAGGACACUUAAACUCUUUGUUUUUAUAAGCAUUCCUGAGUGGCCGAAAGGCAAAAUACAAAUGAAUCAAAACUUUCAGCAACGGAUCUCUUGGUUCUG
Molecule: unclassified non-coding RNA, 201 nt
Filed under: plant metagenome
Description: partial contains small subunit ribosomal RNA, internal transcribed spacer 1, and 5.8S ribosomal RNA
Source: RNAcentral